This 1445-nucleotide ribosomal RNA is filed under the name uncultured Bordetella sp. RNAcentral's name for it is "partial 16S-23S ribosomal RNA intergenic spacer". It matches the Rfam family "Bacterial small subunit ribosomal RNA". Lineage: Bacteria; Pseudomonadati; Pseudomonadota; Betaproteobacteria; Burkholderiales; Alcaligenaceae. The record is from RNAcentral.
AGUCGAACGGCAGCACGGACUUCGGUCUGGUGGCGAGUGGCGAACGGGUGAGUAAUGUAUCGGAACGUGCCUAGUAGCGGGGGAUAACUACGCGAAAGCGUAGCUAAUGCCGCAUACGCCCUUCGGGGGAAAGCAGGGGACCUUCCGGGCCUCGCACUAUUAGAGCGGCCGAUAUCGGAUUAGCUAGUUGGUGGGGUAACGGCUCACCAGGCGACGAUCCGUAGCUGGUUUGAGGAGACGACCAGCCACACUGGGACUGAGACGGCUGGCCCGGAGCUCCCUACGGGAGGCAGCAGUGGGGAAUUUUGGACAAUGGGGAAACCUGAUCCAGCCAUCCCGCGUGUGCGAUGAAGGCCUUCGGGUUGUAAAGCACUUUUGGCAGGAAAGAAACGGCACGGGAUAAUACCCCGUGCAACUGACGAAACCUGCAGAAUAAGCACCGGCUAACUACGUGCCAGCAGCCGCGGUAAUACGUAGGGUGCAAGCGUUAAUCGGAAUUACUGGGCGUAAAGCGUGCGCAGGCGGUUCGGAAAGAAAGAUGUGAAAUCCCAGAGCUUAACUUUAGACACCAUUUUUAACUACCGAGCUAGAGUGUGUCAGAGGGAGGUGGAAUUCCGCGUGUAGCAGUGAAAUGCGUAGAUAUGCGGAGGGAACACCGAUGGCGAAGGCAGCCUUUCCUGGGAUAACACUGACGCUCAUGCACGAAAGCGUGGGAGCAAACAGGAUUAAGAUACCUGGUAGUCCACGCCCUAAACGAUGUCAACUAGCUGUUGGGGCCUUCGGGCCUUGGUAGCGCAACUAACGCGUGAAGUUGACCGCCUGGGGAAGUACGGUCGCAAGAUUAAAACUCAAAGGAAUUGACGGGGACCCGCACAAGCGGUGGAUGAUGUGGAUUAAUUCGAUGCAACGCGAAAAACCUUACCUACCCUUGACAUGUCUGGAAUCCCGAAGAGAUUUGGGAGUGCUCGCAAGAAACCGGAACACAGGUGCUGCAUGGCUGUCGUCAGCUCGUGUCGUGAGAUGUUGGGUUAAGUCCCGCAACAGGCGCAACCCUUGUCAUUAGUUGCUACGAAAGGGCACUCUAAUGAGACUGCCGGUGACAAACCGGAGGAAGGUGGGGAUGACGUCAAGUCCUCAUGGCCCUUAUGGGUAGGGCUUCACACGUCAUACAAUGGUCGGGACAGAGGGUCGCCAACCCGCGAGGAGGAGCCAAUCCCAGAAACCCGAUCGUAGUCCCGGAUCGCGGUCUGCAACUCGACUGCGUGAAGUCGGAAUCGCUAGUAAUCAUAGCGGAUCAACGCCUCGCGGUGAAUACGUUCCGGUCUUUACACCGCCCCGUCACACCAUGGGAGUGGGUUUUUUACCAGAAGUAGUUAGCCUAACCGUAAGGAGGGCGAUUACCACGGUAGGGAUUCAUGGCUUGGGGUGAAGUCGUAACAAGGUAG